This 31-nucleotide non-coding RNA is filed under the name Rattus norvegicus (Norway rat). Lineage: Eukaryota; Metazoa; Chordata; Mammalia; Rodentia; Muridae. The record is from RNAcentral.
UCACAUUCUUCACCACCACACAGGAGUGUCU